UACGUAGGGGGCAAGCGUUGUCCGGAUUUAUUGGGCGUAAAGAGCGUGUAGGCGGCCAAACAGGUCAGCUGUGAAAACUCGAGGCUCAACCUCGAGACGUCGGUUGAAACCGUUUGGCUAGAGUCCGGAAGAGGAGAGUGGAAUUCCCGGUGUAGCGGUGAAAUGCGCAGAUAUCGGGAAGAACACCCGUGGCGAAGGCGGCUCUCUGGGACGGUACUGACGCUGAGACGCGGAAAGCGUG
Molecule: ribosomal RNA, 241 nt
Filed under: uncultured bacterium
Lineage: Bacteria
Description: partial 16S ribosomal RNA
Rfam family: Bacterial small subunit ribosomal RNA
Source: RNAcentral